RNAcentral lists this ribosomal RNA (383 nucleotides) under uncultured eukaryote. RNAcentral describes it as "partial 18S ribosomal RNA". It matches the Rfam family "Eukaryotic small subunit ribosomal RNA", at positions 592 to 976 of the family's 1831-position model. The record is from RNAcentral.
CAAUAGCGUAUAUUAAAGUUGUUGCAGUUAAAAAGCUCGUAGUUGGAUUUCUGGUGGGAGCGAUCGGUCUGGCGCUUAGCGCGAGUACUUGCAUCGUCUCCGGCCAUCCUUGGGGAGAGUCUGUCUGGCAUUAGGUUGUCGGGCAGAGGAUCCUCAUCGUUUACUGUGAAAAAAUUAGAGUGUUCAAAGCAGGCUUAUGCCGUUGAAUAUAUUAGCAUGGAAUAAUAAGAUAGGACUUUGGUACUAUUUUGUUGGUUUGCGCACCAAAGUAAUGAUUAAUAGGGACAGUUGGGGGUAUUCGUAUUCCGUUGUCAGAGGUGAAAUUCUUGGAUUUACGGAAGACGAACUACUACGAAAGCAUUUACCAAGGAUGUUUUCAUUAA